RNAcentral lists this ribosomal RNA (253 nucleotides) under uncultured bacterium. Its description in RNAcentral is "partial 16S ribosomal RNA". It matches the Rfam family "Bacterial small subunit ribosomal RNA", at positions 524 to 776 of the family's 1533-position model. The record is from RNAcentral.
GACAGAGGAUGCAAGCGUUAUCCGGAAUGAUUGGGCGUAAAGCGUCUGUAGGUGGCUUUUUAAGUCUGCCGUCAAAUCCCAGGGCUUAACCCUGGACAGGCGGUGGAAACUACCAAGCUGGAGUACGGUAGGGGCAGAGGGAAUUUCCGGUGGAGCGGUGAAAUGCGCAGAUAUCAGGAGGAACACCAGUGGCGAAGGCGGUGCUCUGGGCCGGAACUGACGCUGAGGAGCGAAAGCCAGGGGAGCAAACGGG